RNAcentral lists this unclassified non-coding RNA (199 nucleotides) under uncultured Choiromyces. Its description in RNAcentral is "sequence contains ITS2". Lineage: Eukaryota; Fungi; Ascomycota; Pezizomycetes; Pezizales; Tuberaceae. The record is from RNAcentral.
AAAACCCCAUCACUCCAACUGUGGUGUUGGCGGCAGUGGUGCCAGCACGGAGGAUUCUAUCCCCGUCGGCCCACUCCACCCAAAUGCAUCGGGCGGUCAUACUGAUCUCACCAAACUGACUUUGUAAAAUCAAUCAGCCAGGAGUGACGUUGUGUCCUGCCAAACCUUUGGGCCCCCAUCCCAAGCGGUACAAGUAAUG